ACAUGACAUAACAUGUUUUGCUGAUGCUACAUCCUAGAACUGCUGGGAAGGGAAAGGCAGCCUGACAGAAUGCGUUGUCUUAAAGAUGACUCACAGGAUCUGACUCAGCCUGAUUCACCAGAGGAUGUGGGGGGAUUUGAUCAGUGGAGAACUCUGCAUGUUCCCAGAGGGAAGGAGUUUACCUAGCGUGUCUAAUAGAGCAACAAGUCACGUCCCAUGGCUCCAGGCCUGCUAUUCCGCAGCAUACCAAAAUCAACCACAGACUGCCUCCAACCACACCCAAGUCAGAGGUGGAGGUGGGGCUUCUCUCUGCCCCCUGGAGAGGUAGAAUCUAUGACCAAAUGGGCAGAGCUUAUUCCUCACCAAUGAUUCAAAGGCUAAGGCAGCCAGAGCCCGGCAGACUUGUGGGUUUGCUUCCAUUCUGCAAGAAAGCUUGUGUCCAGGGCAAGUCUUUGAAGAACAAAUUCAGGCAGAGUCUUUGCCUUCACGCUGGUGUCACCUUCACCCAUUCUCCAUCAGCUGUACAGACAGUCACAUCUCCUCUAUGGGUGCUGGGAGGCCCCAGGGAAUUCUGACUGAUUUUCUUUUUUAAUAAUCAAGUUUACUUGCAAGGUUCCUGCUCAGUAUCCCAGCCUCAUGUGAGGGAAACUGAAACCAUCAACAAAAGUGUAUGUUUGUAAGCAGAGGCUAUCUAAAGCACUCCUUUCCUGCACGCCCCAAUUCCCCUUCUGUAAGGGGCGGGAUGAGGGACUGGUCCUGAUUAUCUCCAAGAUCUUUGCAGGCUCUGACCUCCCAUGGUUCUCUGGGCUUCCAAGGAACCAAAAGGGGAAAUACAGAUACCGUUUGUUCUCGGUCUCCAUUUCACUGUGCAGUCAUUUUUCCCGCUACCCCCCAAAACACGCUCUUUCUAAGUCUUGGUUAAAGAUUUUCUAUCUGAGCCAAUCAGCCAAUGAUCAGGAGAUUCUGUCUGUGUGUCCUGUGUUUACCUCUAUCAGUGUAUUAGACUACAAGCCUUUGGUGUUCUAGAGUCAGUUCAUGUUAGCUAGCAAGAGCUGAUGGUGUGCAUUUCUUCCUGACUCCUCAUGUUGGUACCAUAAAAUCAACCAUUGUGGGAAUGUUUAUAGCAUGGAAAUUGGCAAGAGCUAGAAAGCAGGACAUUUCCCCUCCGGAAAACUGGUUGUUAAAAUUUGUAAGUACAUCCCUGCCGUAAGCUCUUGGAGGGCACUGAUCAAUUCCUAUAGCUCUCUUUACAUAUUACGAAACACGCUUUAGAGUUUACUGAAACUUUUAAAAGACAAGCACAGAUGACAUGUCAAGUCACAGAUUUUUCCCAGUUUGACUAUAAAUAAGUUGUAAUCUCCAUUAAGUGCCACAGUCUACCCACCUUGCCUCCUCCUUAUAGUGUUAGAUUAUUACUGUUCUAUUUUUCUUACUGAGGAGAUGCCUUAUCCCACCGCCCAUGCCUCUCUCAGUGGAUUCUUCUUCUCCUGGGUGUGCUAACCAGACCUCCUGAAAUAGGAAUCACAGGGGUUGUUUAAGAAAGGAAACUUGCUUUUCAUCUUCCCUUGGAUCCAGGAUAAUUAUUGAUAAUUGUCCUCUUCCAACAAGAGAGUUACAAAUCAAGAUGACCUAAGGCUUGUCUGAGAGGGAUGAAAAGGAGCAGAUGUAGGAUUAUUGGUGAGGAAGUGGGAUACUUGCCAGACUGAAUCCAGCAGGCAAGCUACUUGUCAGCUGGACCCACGAAAGCCCCAAAGAAGGAAAGAAAGAGACGAUGUCCAGUGUUUACAACGUACCGUGUUCACUACAUCUGUCCUACAAUUAGCAGCACACGGGCUUUCCUAUUUCUUGUGCCUCCUAACUUAGAAGUUCUUAACAACAGCUUGACCUUGGUUGUCCUCUCUAAAUUUUCAGCCUGGAACCUAAAACAUAGUAGGCAUUCAAUAAACAUUUAUUGAAUU
Molecule: long non-coding RNA, 1958 nt
Organism: Diceros bicornis minor
Lineage: Eukaryota; Metazoa; Chordata; Mammalia; Perissodactyla; Rhinocerotidae
Exons: 4
Source: RefSeq, a predicted model, not a curated record